Molecule: ribosomal RNA, 253 nt
Filed under: uncultured bacterium
Lineage: Bacteria
Description: partial 16S ribosomal RNA
Rfam family: Bacterial small subunit ribosomal RNA
Source: RNAcentral
UACGGAGGGUGCAAGCGUUAUCCGGAUUCACUGGGUUUAAAGGGUGCGUAGGUGGGUCUGUAAGUCAGUGGUGAAAUCUCCGAGCUUAACUUGGAAACUGCCAUUGAUACUAUAGAUCUUGAAUACCGUGGAGGUCAGCGGAAUAUGUCAUGUAGCGGUGAAAUGCUUAGAUAUGACAUAGAACACCAAUUGCGAAGGCAGCUGGCUACACGAAUAUUGACACUGAUGCACGAAAGCUAGGGGAGCAAACAGG